ACAAAAGACCGAUAGAAGAACACACGAUGCCAGAAAACUGGCCGGGCUACGAAGUUCCAUUAAAAUCUCCGUGGAGACAUCAAGAGGACAGCAAACACAGAUGACUGCCGCUGUGAUGCAGAGGCUGACUGGACCGCUCCGUAAUCAGUCACCUAUGCAGAAAGAUGCUGAUACUACAGGCACCGAAGGAUCACACCUAGGAGAAGAGAAGAACAGUGUAUGUGGCAGGGAAAACACUGACUUCUCGAGUGCCUUUGUCCUGGUGAUGAAGUGACGGCAGACAGAGGCUUUACCAUCUGAGAUCUGCUGUUUGAGAGGAGAUUUAACCUUGUUCUACCAGCAUUCACCCAUAAAAGGAGGGCAGUUGUCUGAUGAGGAUGUAACCGCAGCAAGGAAGAUUGCAAAUGUCCACAUACAUGUGGAAAGAGUUAUCAGGAGGCUCAGAGUUUUGACAAUAAUCCCCCAGACUGUAACUCUCAACUUGGUAAAUAAAAUGGACAAAAUCUUUUGUCCGUGCAGCCCCUUAGAACAUGCAGGAGAUCAUCCACGAGGAUGCUGAUUGAGCGGAGAAGUUUACAUGUCAAAAAGAUCCUGAUUAGUUAUAUUCUACUGUAAAUCAGUGCAAUUAUAAUACACUAGAAUGUGUUUUGGAUUUCUGCUUUUAAAUAUUUCUUUGUGUAGCACCUUGAGGUUUUACAUUUGGAAUUACUUUUAAUUUUU
Molecule: long non-coding RNA, 720 nt
Organism: Fundulus heteroclitus (mummichog)
Lineage: Eukaryota; Metazoa; Chordata; Actinopteri; Cyprinodontiformes; Fundulidae
Exons: 2
Source: RefSeq, a predicted model, not a curated record